RNAcentral lists this transfer RNA (72 nucleotides) under Marmota monax (woodchuck). Its description in RNAcentral is "tRNA.Ala". Lineage: Eukaryota; Metazoa; Chordata; Mammalia; Rodentia; Sciuridae. The record is from RNAcentral.
GUUAUAGUAAGCUUGGUUGGUAAAGUGCUUGCCUUGCAUGCAAAGGCCCUGAGUUCAAUCCCCAGCAUCACA